CACAUCGGAACCCAGGUACUAUGUAUAUGUGCUGACAGGGACUCAAAGACACAGAGCUCUCGGCUGAGGCAGAACUAAACACAUCUGUGCAGUGGAGCCCAUGCCUCAUGCCGCUCUCCAGCCUGCUCGGGGUCUUCCUGGCCCUCAUCUUCUCUGGAUCAGCAGUGGCCCAGACAGUUACUCAAGACCAGCCAGCAGUAUCCUCUCACGUAGGGGAGACAGUCACCCUGAACUGUCGGUAUGAAACAAGUUGGAGCUACUACUAUAUUGUUUGGUACAAGCAGCCUCCGAGUGGAGAGAUGACUUUCCUUAUUCGUCAGGAUUCAUCUAGCGGGAAUGCAAAGAGUGGCCGCUACUCUAUAAACUUCAGGAAAGCAGAAAAAUCCCUCAGCCUCACCAUCUCAAACUUACAGCUGGAGGAUUCUGCAAAGUAUUUCUGUGCUCUUGAUGAAAGCACAGUGCUUGAAGUAAUAGGACGAGCCGAACAAAAACCCCAGAGCGCAGUAAGAGAGAGCUCCCUGCUGCAGGAGCCAAGCCGAGAUGCACACCUGCAGCCCCCAGAGAAGACACGGCAGCCCUGUGGGUGUGUGGUCUGUGGUCCGGAUCAGAAGACUUAAUUGUAAAUAAAAGCUCCUUUUAUGUCACUUGAGAACAGGUGUCCAGAGGAACACUCUACUAAUACAUUCUCAGUCUUGAAUGUUCGACUUCAAAUCAAUCAUGCAGAAUAUGUGUAAAGUUUUCUAAACUUAAAAAACUUGCCUCAUAAUAAUUUAAAGCAGCAACUUCACUUAAAGAUGCUCAUAUCACAACCCUGGGUGUGGUAAACUGGAAUUAUCAUGAAAGUCACUUCCUUAAUCCUUUCCUCUUAAGCUUUGUGUCAGUGAGGGCACAAUUAGAGAAGCGGAACCACAUAGAAUGAAGGAUUCGCUAUAAGAAUAAGAACUCAGGGAAUUGCUAAAGCUGGUGGAGGCGUCUAUAUAAAGCUGUUAUCUUUGCAUCUGGUGUUGAGCCUGAAUUCACUGUAAGUUAACUAGAGUGACAUUUGUGAUAGAAUGUUGGAUAUGGACAAAUGCAUGGACAAACUGAGACUUGUUGGACACAGUAGAACCAGUGAAGACAAGUGGAACACUAAAGCUGUCUGUCUCUCACCUCCUGUCUCACAACAGUGGGUGUCCUUCAGGAGUAAUGGAUGUCAUUUGCCCUCAUGCUACAUGCACACUUGGCCCAAGGCAAAGAAGAUGAGGAGGAGAUCUGGUGGGAGGUGGGCGAGCUGUGAGUCAACAGUAAGUUCGGGUAACCCACCAGCAGCAACAUGUGUGAGCUACCACAGUGCCUGGAGCCCUGCCCCAGCCAGCAAGAAAAAUACGGCUACUUCAUGACAAGUACUUUCUAAAUCUUGCACAAGUCUCUUUCAUGUCCCACUCUAACCCAGGACAAUACAGGGAAGCAAAUUCUGGGAGAUACUUUUACAGAUAGUUACUUUGAGACAGUACAAAGUUACUCUAUUACCCUCCUUGUCAACCAGGCAUCAUUCUGUAUGUACCACUUGUAACAGUACUACUCUUAAAUAAAGAGGAUAGAAAACCA
Molecule: non-coding RNA, 1587 nt
Organism: Camelus dromedarius (Arabian camel)
Lineage: Eukaryota; Metazoa; Chordata; Mammalia; Artiodactyla; Camelidae
Source: the annotation of a RefSeq genome assembly